AACAAAGAAGUAAAAUUACAAUUAGUUUCGACCUAAUAUAAGAGUUAGUUCUCCAUGUUU
Molecule: transfer RNA, 60 nt
Filed under: Batracomorphus cornutus
Lineage: Eukaryota; Metazoa; Arthropoda; Insecta; Hemiptera; Cicadellidae
Description: tRNA-Arg
Source: RNAcentral